Long non-coding RNA from Anas platyrhynchos (mallard), 1783 nucleotides. RefSeq lists it as uncharacterized. Lineage: Eukaryota; Metazoa; Chordata; Aves; Anseriformes; Anatidae. The record is from RefSeq and is a predicted model, not a curated record.
CAGAUAAUCUCCUGCAGCUGGGUUACUCGAGGUGUGGCAGAUAAGCACUGAGGAAGGGGCUCUUGCCUUAGUAGUGACUUGAGCGGCUGUUGCUCUCUAUAUGGGGAAUGGUGAUAGCCUGUCCUUGUAUGAAUGAGGUGUCUGCACCUAGAUGUGAGCUGAAGAGUCCCUGAAGUCCCCCUGGAGAGCUCCUCCUUGUCUCCUGCCCUUAGCUUGCAGGUAGCAUCAUUGAAAACUAGAGCUGAAGCUAAGAACAGCACUCAUAACCCAAGCUGCAAUGCCACCAGUCAAGCAGGAUGCUUUGUGAAGAGGAGAAACAGCAUGUGUGUAUGUGUGUCUGGGAAUGCAAAUUCUUUGUGGCUGUGGUCCAUUAUGGCUUCUAGCUGGGAGAACAUGCCUAAAUGUGAUCGACUUUCACGCCGUGCUUGCUGCAACUAUGGCGAGGACACUGCUGUUUGACCAUAAGAUGAAGUUGCUGCAUGAGGGUGGUUAAUUCUCCACUGGGAAGGUGCCCUUCAGACUGGCUUGUUUCUGUACUUGCACUGGAAAUGCAAUUUUACUGGCAUACAAGAACACAGUGGAUUUUCUGCCUUGGACUACUUCAGUAUGGAGGAUGUAUAGGAUGUAUAUGAUAUAGGAUGUAUAGGAUGGGAGCUUGCCAGACAAAUGUUAUGAAUUUAUUAUUUUCAUGCUCCCUUUGUGUGGGAAGCACUAUUCUUGCUCCCAGAACCCUGCUGUCUGUGGGGUGCAGGAGCUGCCAAGGGGUCUGCAGGAGCAGGGUGGGCCACGGCACUGGCUGGCCAGGCUCCAGAUGCUGGACCUCCUACUGUCACACCUUUGCAGAUGAAAAUGAAGAGUCUGUCAUCAGGAUAAGUGCUGCUGCUGCCAGGAGUGACAGUGUGUCUGUUUGGGUUGCAGAUGAACCGGUUCCCAGCAAUCAGAAGGAUGGUGUAAAAUGGGACACACUAGCAACAAGCAAAUUAUUAAGCCUGUAAGCAUAAAGAUUGCAAAUGUCUACUGGUUUCUUAACUUAUUAUUUUUGGCAGGGUUGCAUAUGUUCUCUGUGCUCAUUCCAUGAAACUAGCUGAUUAUUAUUCCAAUCACCAGAGGAAGAGAGAGUCACAUUAAUUUGUAGUAAUUAAUAGCACUGAUGCAUUUGACAGCGCAUGUUAACAAGCCUCUUUGAUUGUUUGGAUCUCUAACUGCGGCCCUUCUUGUUUGCAUCUCCUCCGAGGAAUUCAUAAUAUCAAAGCUUAACGGUAUCUGAUACUUGUCAAAAUGCAAUUUAUAAAAGUUUAAUUCUUUUAUUGAUUUAGUUUGGUUUUGAUGCCUGCAGAGUCAGCUCCCUUGACAGAACUUAGCGGAUUCAAAUGCUUGUCACCAGCUCGGCCUCCUUUUUGCAGGGAACAAUUGCCAUAGGCCAAGCCAACAGGCAUGGUUUAAUUGCCAUUAAUUAAAAGCAUAAAUCUCUUUUUUCUUCAGUUGCUCUGCUCUUAAAGGGGGCUGCAUCUCUCUCUCUUUUCCUGUGUUUGUCAGAACACCUUCUGGCAAGCCAACUUAACCCAUUCUGUCUUCCCAAGCACUUUCUAGAAUAAUCUUUUGAAGCAUAAAUCUUAUGAUCUGAUGUGAAAUGCAUGCAGUUUGGUGAUAUUUAACAAACUGGAUUUUGUCUUUAUUGCAGUAUAAUGAGGUCAAAUGAAUCCCUCCAUGGGUUGUAUACAUGCUUAAAUGGUUUCUGCAUCAAAUCCUUUUUGACAGCAAAUAAAACAGCAGCUAAACAAAA